Molecule: ribosomal RNA, 704 nt
Filed under: uncultured archaeon
Lineage: Archaea
Description: bacterial SSU rRNA
Rfam family: Archaeal small subunit ribosomal RNA
Source: RNAcentral
ACGGGGUGCAGCAGGCGCGAAACCUCCACAAUGCACUCACGUGCGAUGGGGUUACCUCGAGUGCCACCUUUGAAGGGUGGCUUUUCCGUAGUGUAAAUAGCUAUGGGAAUAAGAGGGGGGCAAGACUGGUGUCAGCCGCCGCGGUAACACCAGCCCCUCGAGUGGUGGGGAUGAUUAUUUGGCCUAAAGCGUUCGUAGCCGGUCAUGAAAGUCCUUCGUUAAAUCCAACGUCUCAAGCGUUGGCCUGCGAGGGAUACUACAUAACUAGAGGGUGGGAGAGGUCAGCGGUAUUCUGGGGGUAGGGGCGAAAUCCUUUGAUCCCCGGAGGACCACCAGUGGCGAAGGCUGCUGACUAAAACACGCCUGACGGUCAGGGACGAAAGCUGGGGUAGCGAACCGGAUUAGAUACCCGGGUAGUCCCAGCCGUAAACGAUGCAUGCUAGGUGUUGGGUCGGCCAUGCGCUGCCCCAGUGCCGCAGGGAAGCCAUUAAGCAUGCCGCCUGGGGAGUACGGCCGCAAGGCUGAAACUUAAAGGAAUUGGCGGGGGAGCACAACCAGGCGUGAAGCCUGCGGUUUAAUUGGAGUCAACGCCGGGAAACUUACCGGAAGCGACAGCAGAAUGAAGGCCAGGCUGAAGACCUUGCUAGACAAGCUGAGAGGUGGUGCAUGGCCGUCGCCAGUUCGUGCCGUGAGGUGUCCUCUUA